RNAcentral lists this ribosomal RNA (635 nucleotides) under uncultured bacterium. RNAcentral's name for it is "bacterial SSU rRNA". It matches the Rfam family "Bacterial small subunit ribosomal RNA", at positions 210 to 842 of the family's 1533-position model. The record is from RNAcentral.
CGAUUCCGGCUACGGAUGGUCAUGCGUCGCAUUAGCUAGUUGGCGGGGUAACGGCCCACCAAGGCGACGAUGCGUAGGGGUUCUGAGAGGAAGGUCCCCCACACUGGUACUGAGACACGGACCAGACUCCUACGGGAGGCAGCAGUGAGGAAUAUUGGUCAAUGGCCGCAGGGCUGAACCAGCCAAGUCGCGUGAGGGAUGACGGUCCCAUGGAUUGUAAACCUCUUUUGUCAGGGAGCAAAGGACGCCACGUGUGGCGUUUUGCGAGUACCUGAAGAAAAAGCAUCGGCUAACUCCGUGCCAGCAGCCGCGGUAAUACGGAGGAUGCGAGCGUUAUCCGGAUUUAUUGGGUUUAAAGGGUGCGCAGGCGGAAUGUCAAGUCAGCGGUAAAAUUUCGGGGCUCAACCCCGUCGUGCCGUUGAAACUGGCGUUCUUGAGUGAGCGAGAAGUAUGCGGAAUGCGUGGUGUAGCGGUGAAAUGCAUAGAUAUCACGCAGAACUCCGAUUGCGAAGGCAGCAUACCGGCGCUCAACUGACGCUCAUGCACGAAAGCGUGGGUAUCGAACAGGAUUAGAUACCCUGGUAGUCCACGCAGUAAACGAUGAAUACUAACUGUCCGGGCCGAUUGAGGUCUGG